AUUGAACGCUGGCGGUAGGCCUAACACAUGCAAGUCGAACGCGAAAGUCCUUCGGGAUGAGUAGAGUGGCGGACGGGUGAGUAACGCGUAGGAAUCUAUCCUGUAGUGGGGGAGUAACGUUUCGAAAGGAACGCUAAUACCGCAUACGCCCCACCGGGGAAAGCGGGGGAGUCUUCGGACCUCGUGCUAUAGGAGGAGCCUGCGUCGGAUUAGCUAGUUGGUGAGGUAAAGGCUCACCAAGGCGACGAUCCGUAGCUGGUCUGAGAGGAUGAUCAGCCACACCGGAACUGAGACACGGUCCGGACUCCUACGGGAGGCAGCAGUGGGGAAUAUUGCGCAAUGGGCGAAAGCCUGACGCAGCCAUACCGCGUGUGUGAAGAAGGCCUCGGUUG
RNAcentral lists this ribosomal RNA (392 nucleotides) under uncultured bacterium. RNAcentral's name for it is "bacterial SSU rRNA". It matches the Rfam family "Bacterial small subunit ribosomal RNA", at positions 30 to 425 of the family's 1533-position model. The record is from RNAcentral.